This 254-nucleotide ribosomal RNA is filed under the name uncultured bacterium. RNAcentral's name for it is "partial small subunit ribosomal RNA". It matches the Rfam family "Bacterial small subunit ribosomal RNA", at positions 26 to 285 of the family's 1533-position model. The record is from RNAcentral.
AGGACGAACGCUGGCGGCGUGCUUAACACAUGCAAGUCGAGCGGAAAGGCCCUUCGGGGUACUCGAGCGGCGAACGGGUGAGUAACACGUGGGCAACCUGCCCUUAGCUCUGGGAUAGCUCCGGGAAACCGGAAUUAAUACCGGAUAUGACCUAGGCCGACAUCGGCCGUGGUGGAAAGUUUUUCGGCUAGGGAUGGACUUGCGGCCUAUCAGCUAGUUGGCGGGGUAAUGGCCCACCAAGACUGUGAUCUGUA